Non-coding RNA from Nerophis lumbriciformis (worm pipefish), 130 nucleotides. The record is from RefSeq and is a predicted model, not a curated record. NCBI's taxonomy places the organism in Eukaryota, Metazoa, Chordata, Actinopteri, Syngnathiformes, Syngnathidae.
GUGGCUGUCUCCAUAUGGGUACAGCACUAAGUAGUGUGCUGCCACCACGGACUCCACACAUAGUGAGGCUGGAUCCUGCCGACAGGGCCUGGAAAGACGUUGGUUUUCCUGUGCGAUGGUUCCACACAUU